Long non-coding RNA from Onychostoma macrolepis, 491 nucleotides. RefSeq lists it as uncharacterized. The transcript has 5 exons. The record is from RefSeq and is a predicted model, not a curated record. NCBI's taxonomy places the organism in Eukaryota, Metazoa, Chordata, Actinopteri, Cypriniformes, Cyprinidae.
UAUAAUAAAAUAUUUAGUAAAAAAAAAAAACAUUUAGUAAAACACAUUCACAAAUUAUUAUUGUUAUUAUUAUUAUUUUGACUCAAGGUUGUCAGUGGAGCACCUGUUAGAAGCUGGAGAUUUGAUCCGAAGUCUUGGUGAAUCAGAAAUCUUGAGAUGGCUGAGAGUUCAAGAGGAUGAAUACAGUGCUGAGAGUCCCAGAUGGUCACUUGACUUAUUCGGUCAUGGAGAUGUCUCUUUGUUAUUGAGCUCCUCGGAGGAGAAUCCAUUAUUUCCAGCAGUCUUAAACAUGAGUCUUACAUGUUCACAAUCAGAGAUAUCCAGCACUGACUGGACACUCUUCUUACAGAGACUCAGCAAGACAGGAAAAUUAGCAGAUGAGUGCUGCAUCUGAAGCUGGUCAGUCUGAAUAAGAGCUGGGCUUCUGGGAUCAUUUCACUCGUCCAGGCCUACACCAGUCUACAGCAGCUCAUCUUUGCCUCAACACCCAC